UUUUACUGCUAGGCAAUGUGGUGUUUGGGUCGGCUCGUGGGAUUGCCACUCCGUUCGAAGUCCAGCAUUGAGUAUGGUACCCUGGAUUUGGCCCAUAGAGGGUGAAAGGCCCGUGCGAAUGGAUGUUUCAGACAUGAAAGGCGAUUCAUUAGGCCGGCCUUAGAGUCGGGUUGUUUGAGAAUGCAGCCCAAAGUGGGUGGUAAACUCCAUCCAAGGCUAAAUACUAGCACGAGUCCGAUAGCGAACAAGUACCGUGAGGGAAAGUUGAAAAGUACUCUGAAGAGAGAGUAAACAGUACGUGAAACCGCAUAAAGGUAAACGGGUGGCGUCAAGCUGCAAGCCUGGAGGAUUCAGCUGGUCAUUGUGUAGGGUAUACGUCCUGUGUAUCGCAGUCGGUGAUAGUGAGUAGUCCGCUGGCAAACGGCGGGCCUGGUCGCAAGGCUAGGAUGUACGUUCCACGUGUUCGGUGGUGUACGCUGCUCGGCUAUUGGACUGGAUGGCCAGUGCAUUUCCUCCAUUGAGGUGAACACCACGACCGGUGGAACUGCCAGUCUGGUAUAGCCAAGUUGUGUCUAUUUUGGCAUUCGUGUUGAUUAGGCGCAAUCACAGGCAGAUUCGGUGGACGGUGAGUGGACUUCGGUUUGCUCAUGUUAUCGGCCACUGGCUGUCGACGGGUCUGCUCGCUGAGGUUGCAGUCCUUGGUGGGUGGCCUGGUGGGCUAUGCUGGUAAGAAUAACUGUGCAGGGCACCGGAGUUGUCGGUCUCUAAUCCGGUUGGCGCACGCGCUGCAAGUGUGUGUGGAGGUGCCAUUGCGGCCUGUCGUUGGUUGGGUCUGAUUGCCGUGUUGCCUGCGAAAAGUAGGUCCGGUGGUGGCUCGGCUACGGUCGGUGCAUGUAGUGGUGCUCCUCUGUCUGUCGGUGUGGACCCAAUAGUCUGUGGUGUAGUGGUAGACGAGCUACCCGACCCGUCUUGAAACACGGACCAAGGAGUUUAAUAUACACGCGAGUCAAUGGGGACUUCCGAAACCCACAGGCGCAAUGAAAGUGAAGCCUCUUCUGGAGGUGUGGUGAGAUCCUGCUGUUACUCGCAUCUGCACUUGUGUAGUUUGUCGGCACAGGGCGCAAAGAGCGGUGGGCGCAUCACCGGCCCGUCUCAUAAUGUGGUCAUUGGUCGG
This 1174-nucleotide ribosomal RNA is filed under the name Nybelinia sphyrnae. RNAcentral's name for it is "partial 28S ribosomal RNA". It matches the Rfam family "Eukaryotic large subunit ribosomal RNA", at positions 128 to 792 of the family's 3401-position model. The record is from RNAcentral. Lineage: Eukaryota; Metazoa; Platyhelminthes; Cestoda; Trypanorhyncha; Tentaculariidae.